RNAcentral lists this ribosomal RNA (466 nucleotides) under uncultured bacterium. RNAcentral describes it as "partial 16S ribosomal RNA". It matches the Rfam family "Bacterial small subunit ribosomal RNA", at positions 28 to 507 of the family's 1533-position model. The record is from RNAcentral.
GACGAACGCUGGCGGCGUGCUUAACACAUGCAAGUCGAACGGAAAGGCCCUGCUUGCAGGGUACUCGAGUGGCGAACGGGUGAGUAACACGUGGGUGAUCUGCCCUGCACUUCGGGAUAAGCUUGGGAAACUGGGUCUAAUACCGGAUAGGAGCCAUCUUUAGUGUGGUGGUUGGAAAGUUUUUUCGGUGUAGGAUGAGCUCGCGGCCUAUCAGCUUGUUGGUGGGGUAAUGGCCUACCAAGGCGGCGACGGGUAGCCGGCCUGCGAGGGUGUACGGCCACAUUGGGCCUGAGAUACGGCCCAGACUCCUACGGGGGGCAGCAGUGGGGAAUAUUGCACAAUGGGCGCAAGCCUGAUGCAGCGACGCCGCGUGGGGGAUGAAGGCCUUCGGGUUGUAAACUCCUUUCGCUAGGGACGAAGCUUUGUUGUGACGGUACCUAGAUAAGAAGCACCGGCUAACUACGUG